This 349-nucleotide long non-coding RNA is filed under the name Mus spicilegus (steppe mouse). Its description in RNAcentral is "lncRNA (ENSMSIG00000015847.1)". The record is from RNAcentral. Lineage: Eukaryota; Metazoa; Chordata; Mammalia; Rodentia; Muridae.
GGGGAAGUUCCUGGAGCGUUUGAAAGUGAUAUAUCCUAUUUCACAGAAACCGAAGACAAUGGUUUGAUGUUUUAAAAUUCAUCCUGUCUUCCAAAUAGCUCUAUGGACUCUGCAUUUCAGUUUUGCUUUUGUUGUUGGAGCGCCUCUCCUCCCCACUCCUAGCUGGAUAAGUAUGCAUCCCACUUAUUCUAUGACAGCAAAGCGGAGUCUGAGAUCAUUUUACUGUACACAGCAGUAUCUGUGAUUACUUUCUGGAGAUGGGAAAGCCUGAUAGCGUUGUAAAGUAAACGAAACUUAAUGUCAAAAGGAUGGAGCCACUGGGAUUCUGCAAAUUUCCAAGAAACAGGCG